Molecule: ribosomal RNA, 497 nt
Filed under: uncultured bacterium
Lineage: Bacteria
Description: partial 16S ribosomal RNA
Rfam family: Bacterial small subunit ribosomal RNA
Source: RNAcentral
GAUGAACGCUGGCGGCGUGCCUAAUACAUGCAAGUCGAGCGAACAGACGAGGAGCUUGCUCCUCUGACGUUAGCGGCGGACGGGUGAGUAACACGUGGAUAACCUACCUAUAAGACUGGGAUAACUUCGGGAAACCGGAGCUAAUACCGGAUAAUAUAUUGAACCGCAUGGUUCAAUAGUGAAAGACGGUUUUGCUGUCACUUAUAGAUGGAUCCGCGCCGCAUUAGCUAGUUGGUAAGGUAACGGCUUACCAAGGCAACGAUGCGUAGCCGACCUGAGAGAGUGAUCGGCCACACUGGAACUGAGACACGGUCCAGACUCCUACGGGAGGCAGCAGUAGGGAAUCUUCCGCAAUGGGCGAAAGCAUGACGGAGCAACGCCGCGUGAGUGAUGAAGGUCUUCGGAUCGUAAAACUCUGUUAUUAGGGAAGAACAAAUGUGUAAGUAACUAUGCACGUCUUGACGGUACCUAAUCAGAAAGCCACGGCUAACUACGUG